This 448-nucleotide ribosomal RNA is filed under the name uncultured bacterium. RNAcentral describes it as "partial 16S ribosomal RNA". It matches the Rfam family "Bacterial small subunit ribosomal RNA", at positions 329 to 793 of the family's 1533-position model. The record is from RNAcentral.
GGCCAGACUCCUACGGGAGGCAGCAGUGGGGGAUAUUGCACAAUGGGGGGAACCCUGAUGCAGCGACGCCGCGUGGGUGAAGGAGUGCUUCGGCAUGUAAAGCCCUAUCGGCAGGGAAGAAGCAAGACGGUACCUGACUAAGAAGCCCCGGCUAACUACGUGCCAGCAGCCGCGGGAAUACGUAUGGAGCAAGCGUUAUCCGGAUUUACUGGGUGUAAAGGGAGCGCAGGCGGCCUCGCAAGUCUGAUGUGAAAGGCCGGGGCCCAACCCCGGGACUGCAUUGGAAACUGCGAGGCUGGAGUGUCGGAGAGGCAGGCGGAAUUCCUAGUGUAGCGGUGAAAUGCGUAGAUAUUAGGAGGAACACCAGUGGCGAAGGCGGCCUGCUGGACGAUGACUGACGCUGAGGCUCGAAAGCGUGGGGAGCAAACAGGAUUAGAUACCCCCGUAG